Molecule: ribosomal RNA, 154 nt
Filed under: uncultured bacterium
Lineage: Bacteria
Description: partial 16S ribosomal RNA
Rfam family: Bacterial small subunit ribosomal RNA
Source: RNAcentral
UAAGGAAUAUUGGUCAAUGGACGAAAGUCUGAACCAGCCAUGCCGCGUGGAGGAGAAGGUCCUCUGGAUUGUAAACUUCUUUUAUCUGGGACGAAAAAAGGUCUUUCUAGAUCGUCUGACGGUACCAGAUGAAUAAGCACCGGCUAACUCCGUG